This 4669-nucleotide long non-coding RNA is filed under the name Triticum aestivum (bread wheat). RNAcentral describes it as "long non-coding RNA (TAES_LNC016045)". Lineage: Eukaryota; Viridiplantae; Streptophyta; Magnoliopsida; Poales; Poaceae. The record is from RNAcentral.
UCCUCUCCUCUUAAUUCCCAUCAAUCCCAUCAGUUACCAAAACCGAAGCCAUCAUAUUCAGCGCCUCCAUCUUCUCUUCCAUUCACGUAGCACUCUUGCCCUCUUCCUUCCUCUCUCUCUAAGAACUCUCCCUGAACUUUGAAGCUCCAUAGACGCCGGUGCUCGUUCCGAGUGAUGUAGACUAUCUCCAUCAGCUCCCUUGCGCCCUAAGGUUCAUCUCCACACCAUGAAUCCAUUCAGAGAAGAAAGAACGUGAUCCGUCAACCACACACGGAGAAUUCUGCAUGUCCGUGUACACUGUUCAUCGAGUUCAUCGCACUAUUUUGUCAAACUCGGUGAGCACUUCUUCAAUUCCUUUUGCAGGCUUACUUUCCUAGAACUUGUUCCUCUGUUAGACAUCAUGUUUCAGCCCUGCCUUGUCAUUGGCUGCGCGCAUCCAAAAUCAAAGGCCAUCUGACGACUUUCACGCGUUUCUUUAUUUUUGUUUGUCAUAUGAGUUCAUGUCCCACAGAUGAAAUAUUCGCUAGGAUCUUCGUAACCCCAUGGAGGUGUUAGAUUACUUGUUUGGUCAAUCGGAUGUGGUGUAUGUUUAUUGUUUGUUGAUCGGUGAUAUUUUUGUUUGUUUGUUUACUACAUUAUUUAUCAUAUGCUCAUGACAUGUCUAUGAGUCGCUCCUAAUUAUUUCAUAAUGUCAGGAGUAAACUAUGAUUUAAUAGAUUUAUUUUACUUUUGUUUAAAUUGUUGAAAUAGAUGUACGUUGUCUGGCUCGACAAUUUUUGAUAGUAUGUAUUUUUUGUUUUGUGCAUGCAUACUAAUUUUUGUGAACUACAUGUUUAUUCUUUCUAUUUUCAUCUAGAUUUUGUAUGAGUGACUAGAUAUUGUCGAUGUGUUGUUUAACUAUUUUAAUUCUAAUAGCAUGCAAAUAUGUUAGCUAUGGCUUCUAGAAUCACUCUCGAAUAUGUUGCAUGUGUGUUCUAUAGAUUAAAGUCAUGCCAUGCUCUAGGUUGUUGAUCAUGUUGAUAUUUUUGUUUCAUGCCGUACGAAGUCGUAUGACAUGCCUACGAAUAUACUAGGUUUUUGCAAUUUAUUACCAUGUGUAGGUAAAUGUAAGAUUGUUCUAAGAUUUGCUUGAUUUAUUUAAUUAUGGAAUAGUUCAUGUUUGAUCAUUUUCAUUUAUUUUGUUUAGCACGGCGAUCUCGGAUAUGGUUUACAUAUUCAAUUUCAUCCAUGUCACAUUUUGUUCUAUUGGUUCAAAAUCUUUGUGAUGUCUAGAUGGAUGUUCAUUUUCGUACAUGUUGUUGCAUAGUUCGUUUAUGCUAGAAUUCAAAUGAAAUGAUUCUUGUUUGAGAAUAAACCCGAUGUGGUUCUUGUCGCAUAACAUAUUAUUGCCUAGGUCAGUUCUUUCUUAUAGAUGUUUGGUAUGUUAUAUAAUCGCUAGUGUGUACUUUUUGAUCGCACAUAUGGUUAGCCUUUUCCUGUUAGAGAUACAUGUUACCAGUGUAUGAUCUCCUAUGACUUAAGUUUGAUCCUUGAUCAAUACCCCGCAUGAUGAUGCGACUGCAUAACUAGAUUGUAUAGCAUGUGUGUACCAGUUCAUGUAUUAGAUCAUGCCUAGUGGUGUAUCUUAUGUCUUUGGAACUAUAGAUUGUAACAAAUAAAGGUGCAUGUCAUUUUCACUCAUGCUAGUAUAGUACAUUACUUGAUGUCAUGAUCUAGUUGUCUAACUUGCCUAAAUGAUUAGUAUGACAUGUCCAUGUGCUUAUAGGACUAACUAUGUCCAUGUGUUUAUAUGAGAUAACUAGUAUGUAAGGUUGUGUGCUCUUGCCAUUCUUGAUAUUCAUGUUAGCUGAUAUCAACUAAGUUAUCUCAUUUUGUGAGCUAUAUUCUAUCAGUACCAUACUUUGGCAUCUCGUGUGAUGAUCAUUCAUACUUAGUGUUAUACAUUGUAUCUAAUUAUUGCGUUGUUGUGUAUCUAGAUGUUGUUCAUGCAAGUGAUCUUUCAUGUUUUAUGAUGUUCCAUGUGUUAUAGUUGCACUUGUGUUGCUCAUAUGUGCUUGACUUGUCUCAUGUUAGUGUUAUGAGUGUUUGGCACAUGUUGCAUUAGCUCAUCACAUGAUUAGGAUAGUUUAACUUUCAAUAGUUGAGUUGUCUCUUUCUCAUAUGCUUAGUGCACAUUGUUGCUUUGUUGUGAAUCAUGUUGUCGUAAUCUUGUUGACAUAGGUCAUUUUUAUAUUAGUUGUUUCCUUUAUUAUAAAGAAUGUCCUAGUUUAGUAUCUUCUCAUGGUCAUUCAUAUAUUUAAUGCUUCUGUUAUUAGAUAAGACCUCUUCAGGAUUCUAUACUCACAUGCCUUGUAUGAUGUGUCUGAUUAUUUAAUUUUCCAAUUAGUUUUAUGAUAGCAUUGGUUUGUAUUUUGUUAUAGAAAUGCUUACUAAUAGUUGUUAUGAUUGAUGUUUAGUCUUUAAUUGUUAUUAACCAUUAUAAUCAUUUAGAUUCAUCCAAAUAAUUACUUGUGGUUAAUAUUAAUCUUAACCAUAUCAUGUUUCUGAUAGUUUUCCAUCCAUCUAUUCCAUGUGUUGUAUAGUUUCUUGUUAAUUGUUUGACAAAUGAAUUGGUUUGAUUUAAUGGAGUGGAUCCUAUUAUGUUUUAAUAAUGUUUUAGGUCUAGACCUACAUCAAUUCAAUUCAUUUUAUGUAAUGAUAUUUGAUUGCUUAACUAGUAUGGUCUAUAAUGUUGGUUUGGUCGUCUUAUGCAACACUUGAUUUUCAGUUAUUAUAUAGUUGAUGUAUAUGCUUGGUUGCAACUAACCAUUAUAAAUAUUUAGAUUCUAUCGAUCUAAAUAUUUAUCAUGGUUAACUUUCACCUUUAUCAUGUCAUGUAGAGUUUGUGCAGUUAAAAUGCAUAGGAUGUUUCCAUUCUAUGAGUGCUGAUGUCAAUGUGUUUGUUAUAUGGUAGUUUUCUACAUGGUUAGUCGAGAUGUGUGGUGGGCACUACUAGUUCAUAACAGAACUUUAGUCUUGAUUGCAAAGCCUUCGUCAAUUGUGUCAGCUUAACCUUGUCCCUUCGUUGAAUCAUAUCUCUUACCUUCCUAUCAUGCUACCUUGUUCUGGAAUAUCCAUCUUGAUCAAUAUCUUAUACAUCCACUUAAUUUGCUUUCGAUUUGGAUUUACUAUUGCUUUGGUAUUUAUUGUUUGUCUUUUGCUAUCGUUACAAUGAGUAGGGAGUGACGACGAUGUUGGAGAUGGACAAAACCAGGUUAUCAAAGAAGGACUCAACAACGAAGGCAUGCCUCCUUCUUUGAUCAUACUUAUCCUAUGUUUACAAAAUUGCAUUGUGUUUUAUGUUUCUAUAUGCAUGCUGUUUUAAUUCUUGUAGCUAGCGUGUCGAUUGACACAUUACCUUGAUCUGCUUGUCGCCUAUUCAGUUGACACCUGAUUAGAAUUAUAGUAUUCUGGUAGAGUAGAAAUGCUUAGCCAUGCUUAUUACCCUAUAGGUGCUUGUUGAAUGACCUUUGAGUCAUUGACACUUGGAACUUAUCGCUGAGCUAGGACGACUGGCCCUUGUUGAUCUCCUCUACUCUCUUCUACUCUGGGUGAAACUUACCAUCUGAAUACUGGCGCGGGCGAUAGCUGAAUCAAGGAUUGAAGGAGCGAUUGGCUGCCCUUCACAGGUUGAAGGGGGAAAUCAGUCGUCCGUGCCGCAUGAGGCCUAAUAAGUCUUGGAUUUGAAUAUUGUGAUAACAGUAUAGCCACAUGCUAUAUGGGCACUAGCUUGGUUGAUUAGUUAGUUCACCCUUAUUGUUGUCAUCGUCGUACCGCAGACGGGAUAGCUGCCUUCCAAGGAGUAUCCUUGGCACAAUAGGGGGGGGGGAGACUGUGAACUGCGGUUACUUCCGUGUUGAAACCUAGUGGGCUUGGCACAGUAAGUUUGGUCUAAUGAAAGACCUUGUCACAAUCUCCCUGCUGGUAUAUUAAAUGGUGUACUAUGCUAGAGAUGGCUAAUGGCAACAAGUCGGGAUUGUGUCGUAUGGGUAAAGUGUACAACCUCUGCAAAGUGUAAAACUAUUCGAAUAGCCGUGUCCAUGGUCAUGGACAACACAUGAAUCUUUCUUGACGUACAGGACCUGCCUUGCUUAUUCCCUCUUUGCGCCUAUUCUUGGAACCUAUGAAGAGUGUGAGUUGAUCGAGGAUCCUCACUUAAUGAAAGUUAUUCUCGAGACAAAACAUGUUUUCAUCUAAAACUGCUAUAUCCAAGUACUAUGUUAUUUCGAACAAAAUUAGCUUGUAUGCAAAUGAGCCAUACAUCCUUCCUUUGAAGCCACAUGUAGCUAUUAGGUCCUUCCCCGUGGGAGGCAUGUUGAGUACAUAAUGUAAUCAUGGCAAUAAUUUUGUUGACAACAGAGUUCCAUGAAGACGAAGGUGAUGGUUACAGCUACUAUGGCGAUCCGUAGGAGUGAGGUCACGUGGACUACAUCGACUGCCUCUGGCUGAGAUGGAGUCACUACGCAUUGUACUUUCCGCUAUUUUUCUGAAUGUAAUAAAUGUCAUGAGACAGUUCGCUAGGUAUGUCUUGUGACAAUAUAUACUACUUGUAAUACUUUAAUGUAUUGUGAAAUGAUACCAUUUCACUGUGUUGUCAACAAUGAUCCUGGGGUUGACAAAUAUACACAGG